GCCUCGGUAGCUCAGUAGGUAGAGCAGCGGACUGAAAAUCCGCGUGUCACCAGUUCAACUCUGGUCUGAGGCACCA
This 76-nucleotide transfer RNA is filed under the name bacterium. RNAcentral's name for it is "tRNA-Phe". It matches the Rfam family "tRNA". From Rfam's summary of the family: Transfer RNA (tRNA) molecules are approximately 80 nucleotides in length. RNAcentral also lists the same sequence under 2 other names. The record is from RNAcentral.